CUUCUCUCACUGUCUUCUACUGCAAGACCAUCAUUUUAUCCAUGUUUUUAUCCAUUCCCAUUACUGCUGGGGAAAGGGACUUCUCCUGAGUGAAGAUUGUGGGAUCUGACUUGAAGCAAGAUGAGGGAAGCAAAGCCUCUGUGAACAUUGCAGGUGGCAGCUAGAGAAUGCUCUACAGGGAAGAAACGUAAAUCAGUGAGGUGGUGAUCCCUCAGGUACCCUGGAGGGUGAGCAGAGCUGGACAGAUCCCAAAUCCAGGCGCUUUGGUGUUCAGAUCUGUCACCUUGUAAAGCUGUGGUUGUGCUGAGCCUCUCUGCUCCCAGCAGCAGCAGGAUAUUGAAGGAUUUGAGAUCUCUGAGCAGCCACAACCCCCUGCUCUACCCCCUCAUUUCCACCCCAGCCACAGCUCCCUCAGCCCCACAC
This is a long non-coding RNA of Oenanthe melanoleuca, 423 nucleotides long. RefSeq lists it as uncharacterized. Lineage: Eukaryota; Metazoa; Chordata; Aves; Passeriformes; Muscicapidae. The transcript is spliced from 3 exons. The record is from RefSeq and is a predicted model, not a curated record.